CCAAGUACUGUCAAAAUUUUUAAAAGUUUACUGUUAGCUAAAUCGUCAAAGAAGAAAGACUUAAUUUCCAAGUGGUCGACAGCUGUUUGAAAACAAAAAAAAAAAGAAAUCUGAUUUUAGUUAUUAUUUUAAUGGAAAAUAUGUGAAAUUAGUUGAAGGAGGAAAAAGUGUUGUUUUAGUUAUUUGUUUCAAGAAGAAAAGUAUAUUAAUUUGGUAGAAUUUGGACUAUCGCUGUCGGCCACUUGGAAUCACUUACAUAUUUUCACCCCAAGAACAUCAGGGGAUGAAGGAUAAAUCAGGGGAUCUAGCAGCAGUCACUGGGUAUUACAGGAUGGAAUCAUCUUUUUGAGUUUGGUUUUCAAUCAUUAGUUAUCAUUUUUUUGGACAUUGGGAAAGGACAUUACGUUAAUUGGUGUUGGACAGUGGACAGUGGUUUAAGUAUUUUUUUUUAUUAUUAUUAUCAAGAACAUUAAUUUUUCUCCUAAUUGGGACAUUAAAUAUUUAUUAAAAAUAGCAUAUUAAAUAAGUUUACAUUAUACUCCACUUGUUAUAUUUACAUAUUUUUUUCAUACCAAAAACAAAAGAAACAAUUUAAAUAUUUUCAAUUUUUUAAUAAUAAAUAAUACUUCAUCUUUAAGGCUUAAAAUUUGCAUAUUUUCUUUAAUCAAUUUAUUUCUUUUGUUUAUCUUCUCAACUGUAAGGUAAUUGAGCUCAACUAUCCGGAGAAAAUUUGGUAAUUUUUUUUAUAUUAUAAUUAAUGAACCUUGGCUUUCGUCCCCCUCAGGGUAAUUGACCAUUUAACUUGUUUUUAUUAUUGUAACCGCACAUGAAGUUAGAGUUUUACCUCGAGUAGUGUGUCGGUUCAGUUUUGUACCAUAAAUUGGAUUUGACAUUUCAAACCAAUUUUUAGGGGUGGACUUUGUUCCUCUUUUGUUUAAACUACUCUGUAGACUGUAAAUUGUACAUACUUUAUUAGUAAAAUAUUUUUUAUUAAUUUUAGGGUAUACCUUGUUGGUACAUAUACGAAUUUUUUGUACAUAUAAGUAAAAGCUAAAUACACUAUUGAUUGGGUUGUAUAA
Long non-coding RNA from Diabrotica virgifera virgifera (western corn rootworm), 1079 nucleotides. RefSeq lists it as uncharacterized. The transcript has 2 exons. The record is from RefSeq and is a predicted model, not a curated record. Lineage: Eukaryota; Metazoa; Arthropoda; Insecta; Coleoptera; Chrysomelidae.